AAUGAACGUUGGCGGCGUGGAUUAGGCAUGCAAGUCGAGCGAGAAGAGUUUGGUAGCUUGCUAUUGAACUCGGAAAGCGGCGAAAGGGAGAGUAACGCGUAGUUACGUGCCCCAGGGUUCGGAAUAGCCACGGGAAACUGUGGGUAAUGCCGAAUAACAUCUCCGGAUCAAAGGUGUGAUUCCGCCCUGGGAGCGGACUGCGUCCUACUAGCUAGUUGGCGGGGUAAUGGCCCACCAAGGCAACAAUGGGUAGCGGGUGUGAGAGCAUGACCCGUCUCACGGGGACUGAGACACUGCCCAGACCCCUACGGGUGGCUGCAGUCGGGAAUCUUCGGCAAUGGGCGAAAGCCUGACCGAGCGACGCCGCGUGCGGGAUGAAGGCCCUCGGGUUGUAAACCGCUGUCGUAGGGGAGGAAGGCUCCAUGAAGAAUGGGGUUUGACCUAUCCUAGGAGGAAGUACGGGCUAAGUUCGUGCCAGCAGCCGCCGUAA
This 490-nucleotide ribosomal RNA is filed under the name uncultured bacterium. RNAcentral's name for it is "partial 16S ribosomal RNA". It matches the Rfam family "Bacterial small subunit ribosomal RNA", at positions 29 to 523 of the family's 1533-position model. The record is from RNAcentral.